This is a long non-coding RNA of Erpetoichthys calabaricus (reedfish), 586 nucleotides long. RefSeq lists it as uncharacterized. NCBI's taxonomy places the organism in Eukaryota, Metazoa, Chordata, Cladistia, Polypteriformes, Polypteridae. The transcript is spliced from 3 exons. The record is from RefSeq and is a predicted model, not a curated record.
GAACGGGGAUUUCAAAGUUCUUUUUUUUUUAUUUAUGUUAAAAACAACCUUAUAUCUACUCCUAUAUGUAUUUAUGGCAGGUGAACCAUAAAUAUUCUGCAGAUGAAAAGGUGACCACUGUGCAUCAGCUACUUUAGACAGAAGCAGACAAAACCUUUUUUAACUAUGGAUCAUUAGCGAAAAGAGCAAGAUUUAGCAAUGCAGUCUCUUCCUGAAGACUGAUAGGUGGAAAGGGUAAGACUGGGAUUCUGAAGAGAAACUGAUACUUGGUGACCUAGCAUGAUGACAUGCACCUAUACUGGAAAUUAUGUACAGUACAGAGCAUAUUUAUCAAGUUUGAAGACUGUGGCAGGUGGCCGGGUGUGGUCCGCAGCCGCCUGCCUAUUUAAGGAGCCGCCUCCCUGCAAUCAAGGCUGGAGUCGGGUGAGGAGGUGGACGAGGUCAGAGAGGAGGCAGCAAGAAGAGGCCCUGAGUGUGUUGUGUGAAGGAAAGAGAGAUGGCCAGUGAAGGAGCCAGGACUUUGGGAGACGGUGGGGGUUUGUUAGUGUGGUGCACUUAAGACUUGUAUAUAUUAAUUGUAAAUAAA